This 458-nucleotide ribosomal RNA is filed under the name Theileria sp. RNAcentral describes it as "SSU rRNA". It matches the Rfam family "Eukaryotic small subunit ribosomal RNA", at positions 486 to 984 of the family's 1831-position model. RNAcentral also lists the same sequence under 1 other name. Lineage: Eukaryota; Apicomplexa; Aconoidasida; Piroplasmida; Theileriidae. The record is from RNAcentral.
CGGGGCUUAAAGUCUUGUAAUUGGAAUGAUGGGAAUUUAAACCUCUUCCAGAGUAUCAAUUGGAGGGCAAGUCUGGUGCCAGCAGCCGCGGUAAUUCCAGCUCCAAUAGCGUAUAUUAAAAUUGUUGCAGUUAAAAAGCUCGUAGUUGAAUUUCUGCUGCAUCGCUGUGUCCCUUCGGGGUCUCUGCAUGUGGCUUAUUUCAGACGGAGUUUACUUUGUCUGGAUGUUUACUUUGAGAAAAUUAGAGUGCUCAAAGCAGGCUUUUGCCUUGAAUAGUUUAGCAUGGAAUAAUAAAGUAGGACUUUGGUUCUAUUUUGUUGGUUUUAGGUACCAAAGUAAUGGUUAAUAGGAACAGUUGGGGGCAUUCGUAUUUAACUGUCAGAGGUGAAAUUCUUAGAUUUGUUAAAGACGAACUACUGCGAAAGCAUUUGCCAAGGAUGUUUUCAUUAAUCAAGAAC